Molecule: ribosomal RNA, 3088 nt
Filed under: Meoneura sp. BMW-2012
Lineage: Eukaryota; Metazoa; Arthropoda; Insecta; Diptera; Carnidae
Description: eukaryotic LSU rRNA
Rfam family: Eukaryotic large subunit ribosomal RNA
Source: RNAcentral
UUGGGAAUCUUAACGAAACCUAAUGGCAUAAUUAACUUAACUGUUUAAAUGGGAUUAGUUUUUAGAUUUAAAUUUUAUUUAGUCUAUUAAUUCAAUCCCGGGGCGUUCUAUACAGUUAUGUAUAAUAAUAUUUUAUAUUAUUUAUACCUCUAACUAGAGCGUACCUUGAGCAUAUAUGCUGUGACCCGAAAGAUGGUGAACUAUACUUGAUCAGGUUGAAGUCAGGGGAAACCCUGAUGGAAGACCGAAACAGUUCUGACGUGCAAAUCGAUUGUCAGAAUUGAGUAUAGGGGCGAAAGACCAAUCGAACCAUCUAGUAGCUGGUUCCCUCCGAAGUUUCCCUCAGGAUAGCUGGUGCAUUUAUAUGUUAUGUAAAAUAAUCUUAUCUGGUAAAGCGAAUGAUUAGAGGCCUUAGGGUCGAAACGACCUUAACCUAUUCUCAAACUUUAAAUGGGUAAGAACCUCACCUUUCUUGAUAUGAAGGUUGUGGUUGUGAUAUAAUGUGCCCAGUGGGCCACUUUUGGUAAGCAGAACUGGCGCUGUGGGAUGAACCAAACGUAAUGUUACGGUGCCCAAAUUUACAACUCAUACAGAUACCAUGAAAGGCGUUGGUUGCUUAAAACAGCAGGACGGUGGACAUGGAAGUCGUAAUCCGCUAAGGAGUGUGUAACAACUCACCUGCCGAAGCAACUAGCCCUUAAAAUGGAUGGCGCUUAAGUUGUAUACCUAUACAUUACCGCUAAAGUAAACGAUUUAUAUUUUAUAAAUAUAAAUUAUGAAACUUUAGUGAGUAGGAGGGUACAAUGGUGUGCUUUGAAGUGUUUGGCGUAAGCCUGCAUGGAGCCGCCAUUGGUACAGAUCUUGGUGGUAGUAGCAAAUAAUCGAAUGAGAUCUUGGAGGACUGAAGUGGAGAAGGGUUUCGUGUGAACAGUGGUUGAUCACGAGUUAGUCGGUCCUAAGUUCAAGGUGAAAGCCGAAAAUUUUCAAGUUAUAAUUAAAAAAUGAUUAUUAAAAACAAUCAAAUAAUUAAUUAAUAAAACACUUGAUUAUUUUUGAACGAAAGGGAAUACGGUUCCAAUUCCGUAACCUGUUGAGUAUCCGUUUGUUAUUAAAAAUGGGCCUUGUGCUCAUCCUGGCAACAGGAACGACCAUAAAGAAGCCGUCGAGAGAUAUCGGAAGAGUUUUCUUUUCUGUUUUAUAAUCGUACUACCAUGGAAGUCUUUCGAAGAGAGAUAUGGUAGAUGGAUUAGAAGAGCAUGACAUUUACUGUUGUGUCGAUAUUUUCUCCUCGGACCUUGAAAAUUUAUGGUGGGGUCACGCAAACUUCUCAACAGGCCGUACCGAUAUCCGCAGCUGGUCUCCAAGGUGAAGAGUCUCUAGUCGAUAGAAUAAUGUAGGUAAGGGAAGUCGGCAAAUUAGAUCCGUAACUUCGGGAUAAGGAUUGGCUCUGAAGAUUGAGAUAAUCGGGCUUGAUUGGGAAGCAAUAACAUGGUUUAUGUGCUCGUUCUGGGUAAAUAGAGAUUUUCGGAUCUUGUUCCCCGGAUAGUAGUUACGUAGCCAAUUGUGGAACUUUCUUGCUAAAAUUAUAUAAGAUUAUAUCGCAAGGUAUAUAUAUUAUAUUAAUUAUAACGAUUAUCAAUUAACAAUCAAUUCAGAACUGGCACGGACUUGGGGAAUCCGACUGUCUAAUUAAAACAAAGCAUUGUGAUGGCCCUAACGGGUGUUGACACAAUGUGAUUUCUGCCCAGUGCUCUGAAUGUCAAAGUGAAGAAGUUCAAGUAAGCGCGGGUCAACGGCGGGAGUAACUAUGACUCUCUUAAGGUAGCCAAAUGCCUCGUCAUCUAAUUAGUGACGCGCAUGAAUGGAUUAAUGAGAUUCCUACUGUCCCUAUCUACUAUCUAGCGAAACCACAGCCAAGGGAACGGGCUUGGAAAAAUUAGCGGGGAAAGAAGACCCUAUUGAGCUUGACUCUAAUCUGGCAGUGUAAGGAGACAUAAGAGGUGUAGCAUAAGUGGGAGAUAGUAAUUUCGGUUAUUAUCGACAAUGAAAUACCACUACUCUUUCUGUUUCCUUACUUACUUGAUUAAGUGGAACGUGUAUCAUUGCCUAGCCAUUAUACGGAUAUAUUUAUAUGUCUUAUGGUAUUGGGUCUUGAUGCAAGCUUCUUGAUCAAAGUACUAAGAGUUUGUUAUAUAAUUGUAAACAAAUUAUUGAUGAUAUAAUGGCAUUUCGGUGUUAUUAUUAGUUAAAAUUUGGUAUAGCUCCUAAUACUCAGGUAUGAUCCAAUUCAAGGACAUUGCCAGGUAGGGAGUUUGACUGGGGCGGUACAUCUCUCAAAUAAUAACGGAGGUGUCCCAAGGCCAGCUCAGUGCGGACAGAAACCACACAUAGAGCAAAAGGGCAAAAGCUGACUUGAUCUAGAUGUUCAGUACACAUAGAGACAGCAAAAGCUCGGCCUAUCGAUCCUCUUCGUUUAAUGAGUUUUUAGCAAGAGGUGUCAGAAAAGUUACCAUAGGGAUAACUGGCUUGUGGCGGCCAAGCGUUCAUAGCGACGUCGCUUUUUGAUCCUUCGAUGUCGGCUCUUCCUAUCAUUGUGAAGCAAAAUUCACCAAGCGUUGGAUUGUUCACCCAUUCAAGGGAACGUGAGCUGGGUUUAGACCGUCGUGAGACAGGUUAGUUUUACCCUACUAAUGACAAAACGUUAUUGCGACAGCAUUCCUGCGUAGUACGAGAGGAACCGCAGGUACGGACCUAUGGCACAAUACUUGUUCGAGCGAACAGUGGUAUGACGCUACGUCCGUUGGAUUAUGCCUGAACGCCUCUAAGGUCGUAUCCGUGCUGGACUGCAAUAAUAAUAAUGGGGCAAUUGCAUUGCAUGGCUUCAAACCAUUUAAAGUUUGUAUAAAACGACAAUGGUAUAUUUGAUGCCAAUGUUAUAUGUAACAUAGCAAGUGUGGAAGGAUUUUAUCAUCUGCACGACGCGCUAGUUAUAUAUUAAAACAUUAAUAAAUACAAUAGCAAUGCCUAGAAUCAAUUGUAAACGACUUUGGUAACGGGCAAGGUGUUGUAAGUGGUAGAGCAGCUGCCU